RNAcentral lists this non-coding RNA (30 nucleotides) under Rattus norvegicus (Norway rat). The record is from RNAcentral. Lineage: Eukaryota; Metazoa; Chordata; Mammalia; Rodentia; Muridae.
CCUGAUCCUUCUGCUGCCUUUACAGCGACA